Epinephelus moara (kelp grouper) is the source of this 361-nucleotide long non-coding RNA. RefSeq lists it as uncharacterized. The record is from RefSeq and is a predicted model, not a curated record. NCBI's taxonomy places the organism in Eukaryota, Metazoa, Chordata, Actinopteri, Perciformes, Serranidae. The transcript has 3 exons.
CCUGAGAGCAGUAAAGAAAAGCUACGUUAGCUUAGCUUAGCUUAGCUUGAAAGUUUUCCCUUUAGGCUAGUGUUGCUCCUUACGUCUUGUAAGGGCCGUUCGUUAGUUGUCGGGGGCAGGGAGUGGUGCAAAAUGUCGGAGACAGCGAGAGCCCUUCCUGAACAAACCAGCCACAGAGACCAGCCUGCACAGCACAGCAGACCAGCACAAACAGCCAGCUCCCAGGGCCUCUCAGUAUGUGGAGUGAGAUGGACGUGAUGAUGGAGAGGGCCACUGUUUGGAAAAUGGAGGUGAGGGGUAGCUGCAGACGACACACCGCGUCCCCCGGCUGUCCCAAGAAGAGCACCAGACUGAGGCAAGC